UACGUAGGGACCAAGCGUUGUUCGGAUUUACUGGGCGUAAAGGGCGCGUAGGCGGCAUGACAAGUCACUUGUGAAAUCUCCGGGCUUAACUCGGAACGGCCAAGUGAUACUGUUGAGCUAGAGUGCGGAAGGGGCAAUCGGAAUUCUUGGUGUAGCGGUGAAAUGCGUAGAUAUCAAGAGGAACACCUGAGGUGAAGACGGGUUGCUGGGCCGACACUGACGCUGAUGCGCGAAAGCCAGGGGAGCAAACAGG
Molecule: ribosomal RNA, 253 nt
Filed under: uncultured bacterium
Lineage: Bacteria
Description: partial 16S ribosomal RNA
Rfam family: Bacterial small subunit ribosomal RNA
Source: RNAcentral